GACGAACGCUGGCGGCGUGCUUAACACAUGCAAGUCGAACGGUAGCACAGAGAGCUUGCUCUCGGGUGACGAGUGGCGGACGGGUGAGUAAUGUCUGGGAAACUGCCUGAUGGAGGGGGAUAACUACUGGAAACGGUAGCUAAUACCGCAUAACGUCGCAAGACCAAAGAGGGGGACCUUCGGGCCUCUUGCCAUCAGAUGUGCCCAGAUGGGAUUAGCUAGUAGGUGGGGUAAUGGCUCACCUAGGCGACGAUCCCUAGCUGGUCUGAGAGGAUGACCAGCCACACUGGAACUGAGACACGGUCCAGACUCCUACGGGAGGCAGCAGUGGGGAAUAUUGCACAAUGGGCGCAAGCCUGAUGCAGCCAUGCCGCGUGUAUGAAGAAGGCCUUCGGGUUGUAAAGUACUUUCAGCGGGGAGGAAGGUGUUGCGGUUAAUAACCGCAGCAAUUGACGUUACCCGCAGAAGAAGCACCGGCUAACUCCGUGCCAGCCGUCGCGGUAA
RNAcentral lists this ribosomal RNA (504 nucleotides) under uncultured bacterium. Its description in RNAcentral is "partial 16S ribosomal RNA". It matches the Rfam family "Bacterial small subunit ribosomal RNA", at positions 28 to 523 of the family's 1533-position model. The record is from RNAcentral.